RNAcentral lists this ribosomal RNA (2902 nucleotides) under Escherichia coli TW14425. Its description in RNAcentral is "bacterial LSU rRNA". It matches the Rfam family "Bacterial large subunit ribosomal RNA". Lineage: Bacteria; Pseudomonadati; Pseudomonadota; Gammaproteobacteria; Enterobacterales; Enterobacteriaceae. The record is from RNAcentral.
UUAAGCGACUAAGCGUACACGGUGGAUGCCCUGGCAGUCAGAGGCGAUGAAGGACGUGCUAAUCUGCGAUAAGCGUCGGUAAGGUGAUAUGAACCGUUAUAACCGGCGAUUUCCGAAUGGGGAAACCCAGUGUGUUUCGACACACUAUCAUUAACUGAAUCCAUAGGUUAAUGAGGCGAACCGGGGGAACUGAAACAUCUAAGUACCCCGAGGAAAAGAAAUCAACCGAGAUUCCCCCAGUAGCGGCGAGCGAACGGGGAGCAGCCCAGAGCCUGAAUCAGUGUGUGUGUUAGUGGAAGCGUCUGGAAAGGCGCGCGAUACAGGGUGACAGCCCCGUACACAAAAAUGCACAUGCUGUGAGCUCGAUGAGUAGGGCGGGACACGUGGUAUCCUGUCUGAAUAUGGGGGGACCAUCCUCCAAGGCUAAAUACUCCUGACUGACCGAUAGUGAACCAGUACCGUGAGGGAAAGGCGAAAAGAACCCCGGCGAGGGGAGUGAAAAAGAACCUGAAACCGUGUACGUACAAGCAGUGGGAGCACGCUUAGGCGUGUGACUGCGUACCUUUUGUAUAAUGGGUCAGCGACUUAUAUUCUGUAGCAAGGUUAACCGAAUAGGGGAGCCGAAGGGAAACCGAGUCUUAACUGGGCGUUAAGUUGCAGGGUAUAGACCCGAAACCCGGUGAUCUAGCCAUGGGCAGGUUGAAGGUUGGGUAACACUAACUGGAGGACCGAACCGACUAAUGUUGAAAAAUUAGCGGAUGACUUGUGGCUGGGGGUGAAAGGCCAAUCAAACCGGGAGAUAGCUGGUUCUCCCCGAAAGCUAUUUAGGUAGCGCCUCGUGAAUUCAUCUCCGGGGGUAGAGCACUGUUUCGGCAAGGGGGUCAUCCCGACUUACCAACCCGAUGCAAACUGCGAAUACCGGAGAAUGUUAUCACGGGAGACACACGGCGGGUGCUAACGUCCGUCGUGAAGAGGGAAACAACCCAGACCGCCAGCUAAGGUCCCAAAGUCAUGGUUAAGUGGGAAACGAUGUGGGAAGGCCCAGACAGCCAGGAUGUUGGCUUAGAAGCAGCCAUCAUUUAAAGAAAGCGUAAUAGCUCACUGGUCGAGUCGGCCUGCGCGGAAGAUGUAACGGGGCUAAACCAUGCACCGAAGCUGCGGCAGCGACGCUGAUGCGUUGUUGGGUAGGGGAGCGUUCUGUAAGCCUGUGAAGGUGUGCUGUGAGGCAUGCUGGAGGUAUCAGAAGUGCGAAUGCUGACAUAAGUAACGAUAAAGCGGGUGAAAAGCCCGCUCGCCGGAAGACCAAGGGUUCCUGUCCAACGUUAAUCGGGGCAGGGUGAGUCGACCCCUAAGGCGAGGCCGAAAGGCGUAGUCGAUGGGAAACAGGUUAAUAUUCCUGUACUUGGUGUUACUGCGAAGGGGGGACGGAGAAGGCUAUGUUGGCCGGGCGACGGUUGUCCCGGUUUAAGCGUGUAGGCUGGUUUUCCAGGCAAAUCCGGAAAAUCAAGGCUGAGGCGUGAUGACGAGGCACUACGGUGCUGAAGCAACAAAUGCCCUGCUUCCAGGAAAAGCCUCUAAGCAUCAGGUAACAUCAAAUCGUACCCCAAACCGACACAGGUGGUCAGGUAGAGAAUACCAAGGCGCUUGAGAGAACUCGGGUGAAGGAACUAGGCAAAAUGGUGCCGUAACUUCGGGAGAAGGCACGCUGAUAUGUAGGUGAAGUCCCUCGCGGAUGGAGCUGAAAUCAGUCGAAGAUACCAGCUGGCUGCAACUGUUUAUUAAAAACACAGCACUGUGCAAACACGAAAGUGGACGUAUACGGUGUGACGCCUGCCCGGUGCCGGAAGGUUAAUUGAUGGGGUCAGCGCAAGCGAAGCUCUUGAUCGAAGCCCCGGUAAACGGCGGCCGUAACUAUAACGGUCCUAAGGUAGCGAAAUUCCUUGUCGGGUAAGUUCCGACCUGCACGAAUGGCGUAAUGAUGGCCAGGCUGUCUCCACCCGAGACUCAGUGAAAUUGAACUCGCUGUGAAGAUGCAGUGUACCCGCGGCAAGACGGAAAGACCCCGUGAACCUUUACUAUAGCUUGACACUGAACAUUGAGCCUUGAUGUGUAGGAUAGGUGGGAGGCUUAGAAGUGUGGACGCCAGUCUGCAUGGAGCCGACCUUGAAAUACCACCCUUUAAUGUUUGAUGUUCUAACGUUGACCCGUAAUCCGGGUUGCGGACAGUGUCUGGUGGGUAGUUUGACUGGGGCGGUCUCCUCCUAAAGAGUAACGGAGGAGCACGAAGGUUGGCUAAUCCUGGUCGGACAUCAGGAGGUUAGUGCAAUGGCAUAAGCCAGCUUGACUGCGAGCGUGACGGCGCGAGCAGGUGCGAAAGCAGGUCAUAGUGAUCCGGUGGUUCUGAAUGGAAGGGCCAUCGCUCAACGGAUAAAAGGUACUCCGGGGAUAACAGGCUGAUACCGCCCAAGAGUUCAUAUCGACGGCGGUGUUUGGCACCUCGAUGUCGGCUCAUCACAUCCUGGGGCUGAAGUAGGUCCCAAGGGUAUGGCUGUUCGCCAUUUAAAGUGGUACGCGAGCUGGGUUUAGAACGUCGUGAGACAGUUCGGUCCCUAUCUGCCGUGGGCGCUGGAGAACUGAGGGGGGCUGCUCCUAGUACGAGAGGACCGGAGUGGACGCAUCACUGGUGUUCGGGUUGUCAUGCCAAUGGCACUGCCCGGUAGCUAAAUGCGGAAGAGAUAAGUGCUGAAAGCAUCUAAGCACGAAACUUGCCCCGAGAUGAGUUCUCCCUGACCCUUUAAGGGUCCUGAAGGAACGUUGAAGACGACGACGUUGAUAGGCCGGGUGUGUAAGCGCAGCGAUGCGUUGAGCUAACCGGUACUAAUGAACCGUGAGGCUUAACCUU